CCUACGGGUGGCAGCAGUGGGGAAUAUUGGACAAUGGGCGAAAGCCUGAUCCAGCCAUGCCGCGUGUGUGAAGAAGGCCUUCGGGUUGUAAAGCACUUUCAGUGGGGAAGAAAGCCUUGGGGCUAAUACCCUCGAGGAAGGACAUCACCCACAGAAGAAGCACCGGCUAACUCCGUGCCAGCAGCCGCGGUAAUACGGAGGGUGCGAGCGUUAAUCGGAAUUACUGGGCGUAAAGCGCGCGUAGGCGGUCUGAUAAGCCGGUUGUGAAAGCCCCGGGCUCAACCUGGGAACGGCAUCCGGAACUGUCAGGCUAGAGUGCAGGAGAGGAAGGUAGAAUUCCCGGUGGAGCGGUGAAAUGCGUAGAGAUCGGGAGGAAUACCAGUGGCGAAGGCGGCCUUCUGGACUGACACUGACGCUGAGGUGCGAAAGCGUGGGUAGCAAACAGGAUUAGAUACCCGAGUAGUC
Molecule: ribosomal RNA, 465 nt
Filed under: Vreelandella stevensii
Lineage: Bacteria; Pseudomonadati; Pseudomonadota; Gammaproteobacteria; Oceanospirillales; Halomonadaceae
Description: partial 16S ribosomal RNA
Rfam family: Bacterial small subunit ribosomal RNA
Source: RNAcentral